This is a non-coding RNA of Anas platyrhynchos (mallard), 1333 nucleotides long. The record is from RefSeq and is a predicted model, not a curated record. Lineage: Eukaryota; Metazoa; Chordata; Aves; Anseriformes; Anatidae.
GGGGGGUCCCAGGACAGGGAGGGGGUACGGGAACACCGGGUCCGGGUCAACCCACGGAGAAAAAACCCACUCGUGGCCACCUCCCGUCCUUCGGACAGCGUGCCGAACAGCAAGUGGAUGGGAAAGGAGCCCUCUACAACACAAACCUCAUUGACUAAUGGGCCGGUUUUGGGUUUCGCCUUCGAAAGGUUCGGAAAUGGGCAGCGUUGUGUUACUGCCCUGCCGGCUCCCAGCCUCCGAGGCAGCACACGGCUUAUUAGCACCGCCGAGACACGGCUCCGAGGAGGGGAAAAAAAAAAAAAAAAAAAAAAAAAAAAAAGCGCUCCCGCUUUUAUUUCGUCGCGAUGCCUCCUUCCCCAGGCCCCCACACUUCGAGACGAAAACAAAACAAAAAAAUGAGAAAGCAACAAAAUUAAAUUUCUUGUAGGAAGAGGGUUAUUUCUAAGGGGAGAGGGGACGCGCGUUCUGCCUGUUUUCUCCAUUGUUUUGCUGUUUGUUUUUCCGGCGAAAUCGAUGAAAAGCCGCCGAGUGCCUUUGCACGAGCCCCGUCUUCCCCCCCAGUUCCUCGCCGCAUCGAAAAAUCACGAAAAAUAGGAAAAUUUCCAGCGCAAACGCCGCGGAUCCGCGCCCCGGCGGCGGCGGAGGCAAAGCCGGCGGGGAGAGGCUCCGGAGGCUGCAAAGCCCGGGCUGUGCCCAGCCUGCGGGCUGCUGCCCCUCGCCUCCCGAGAAAUAAAGGGGCUGGCGGCUCCUCCGAGCCGCCUCGUUGUUGUUUGGGUGUUUGCACCCACUUCUGCUUUAUUUCUUCAUUUUUUCAUGAUUACUGUUUUUAUUUUUUUUGCGGCUCGAAACCGUUUCUGCGUGAUUUUGAACGGGGUGAAUGGCACGGCGUGCUGCGCGAAUCCGUGCCAUUUUACCCCAUUCCCGUGGUUUAAAGCGAAAGGUUUCCAUUUUUAGGAAAAAAAAAAAAAAACAAAACAAAAAACAAGCCCUGCGAUAAUUAACAUCCCCCACGAGCGGCUCUGGGCUGAGCACUUAGCCCCCAGGUGGAGCCCACCAGCGGACCGCCGCCGGCCCCUCCUCGGGCCAGUUUCGGGGAGCCUGGAGGAAUAAAACCCCGCUCCCCAAAAUCUCGGGGAAGCCUCUCUCCGGCCGCCAAGGGGAUUUUUGCUUCUUCCCAGCCACCGCGGUGUUUAUUUUGGUCGGCCUUUUAAAGGAAAGAGAGGAGAAAGGCGAGGGGGGAUAGAAACCAAGCUUGGGGCUUCCCCAGCCUCUUUUUUUGCGUUUUCCUCACCCUCAGCCCGAGGGUACGAACCCGUGGCUCGGCUCUUUCCUA